CUUCAGCGAACCGAGCCACAGCGGCCGGCCGGCCGCGCGCUCCUGGCCGUACGUGGCGAGGAGCGCCUGCGCCUC
Molecule: antisense RNA, 75 nt
Filed under: Streptomyces albireticuli
Lineage: Bacteria; Bacillati; Actinomycetota; Actinomycetes; Kitasatosporales; Streptomycetaceae
Description: ASpks TB sRNA
Rfam family: ASpks TB sRNA
Source: Rfam by way of RNAcentral